UAGACAGGGGGGAACCGAUCAUUAUGCGCGUGAGUGAAGAAGGCCUUAUGGUUGUAAAGCACUUUAAGCGAGGAGGAGGCUACUUUAGAUAAUACCUAGAGAUAGUGGACGUUACUCGCAGAAUAAGCACCGGCUAACUCUGUGCCAGCAGCCGCGGUAAUACAGAGGGUGCAAGCGUUAAUCGGAUUUACUGGGCGUAAAGCGCGCGUAGGCGGCUAAUUAAGUCAAAUGUGAAAUCCCCGAGCUUAACUUGGGAAUUGCAUUCGAUACUGGUUAGCUAGAGUGUGGGAGAGGAUGGUAGAAUUCCAGGUGUAGCGGUGAAAUGCGUAGAGAUCUGGAGGAAUACCGAUGGCGAAGGCAGCCAUCUGGCCUAACACUGACGCUGAGGUGCGAAAGCAUGGGGAGCAAACAGGAUUAGAUACCCUGGUAGUCCAUGCCGUAAACGAUGUCUACUAGCCGUUGGGGCCUUUGAGGCUUUAGUGGCGCAGCUAACGCGAUAAGUAGACCGCCUGGGGAGUACGGUCGCAAGACUAAAACUCAAAUGAAUUGACGGGGGCCCGCACAAGCGGUGGAGCAUGUGGUUUAAUUCGAUGNCACGCGAAGAACUUUACUGGUCUUGACAUAGUAAGAACUUCCCGAGAUGGAUUGGGC
RNAcentral lists this ribosomal RNA (651 nucleotides) under uncultured bacterium. Its description in RNAcentral is "bacterial SSU rRNA". It matches the Rfam family "Bacterial small subunit ribosomal RNA", at positions 366 to 1016 of the family's 1533-position model. The record is from RNAcentral.